CCUACGGGUGGCAGCAGUGAGGAAUAUUGGUCAAUGGACGAGAGUCUGAACCAGCCAAGUAGCGUGAAGGAUGACUGCCCUAUGGGUUGUAAACUUCUUUUAUAUGGGAAUAAAACGUUCCACGUGUGGGAUUUUGUAUGUACCAUAUGAAUAAGGAUCGGCUAACUCCGUGCCAGCAGCCGCGGUAAUACGGAGGAUCCGAGCGUUGUCCGGAUUUAUUGGGUUUAACGGGAGCGUAGGUGGAUUGUUAAGUCAGUUGUGAAAGUUUGCGGCUCAACCGUAAAAUUGCAGUGGAAACUGGCAGUCUUGAGUACAGUAGAGGUGGGCGGAAUUCGUGGUGUAGCGGUGAAAUGCUUAGAUAUCACGAAGAACUCCGAUUGCGAAGGCAGUUCACUGGACUGCAACUGACACUGAGGCUCGAAAGUGUGGGUAUCAAACAGGAUUAGAUACCCCGGUAGUC
Molecule: ribosomal RNA, 460 nt
Filed under: uncultured bacterium
Lineage: Bacteria
Description: partial 16S ribosomal RNA
Rfam family: Bacterial small subunit ribosomal RNA
Source: RNAcentral